This 253-nucleotide ribosomal RNA is filed under the name uncultured bacterium. RNAcentral's name for it is "partial 16S ribosomal RNA". It matches the Rfam family "Bacterial small subunit ribosomal RNA", at positions 524 to 776 of the family's 1533-position model. The record is from RNAcentral.
UACGUAGGGUGCGAGCGUUGUCCGGAAUUAUUGGGCGUAAAGAGCUCGUAGGCGGUUUGUCGCGUCUGCUGUGAAAACUCGGGGCUUAACCCCGGGCCUGCAGUGGGUACGGGCAGACUAGGGUGCGGUAGGGGAGACUGGAAUUCCUGGUGUAGCGGUGAAAUGCGCAGAUAUCAGGAGGAACACCGGUGGCGAAGGCGGGUCUCUGGGCCGUAACUGACGCUGAGGAGCGAAAGCGUGGGGAGCGAACAGG